AGUGAACGCUGGCGGUAGGCCUAACACAUGCAAGUCGAACGGCAGCACAGUAAGAGCUUGCUCUUACGGGUGGCGAGUGGCGGACGGGUGAGGAAUACAUCGGAAUCUACUUUUUCGUGGGGGAUAACGUAGGGAAACUUACGCUAAUACCGCACACGACCUACGGGUGAAAGCAGGGGAUCUUCGGACCUUUCGCGAUUGAAUGAGCCGAUGUCGGAUUAGCUAGUUGGCGGGGUAAAGGCCCACCAAGGCGACGAUCCGUAGCUGGUCUGAGAGGAUGAUCAGCCACACUGGAACUGAGACACGGUCCAGACUCCUACGGGAGGCAGCAGUGGGGAAUAUUGGACAAUGGGCGCAAGCCUGAUCCAGCCAUACCGCGUGAGUGAAGAGGGCCUUCGGGUUGUAAAGCCCUUUUGUUGGGAAAGAAAAGCAGCAGGUUAAUACCCCGCUGUUCUGACGGUACCCAAAGAAUAAGCACCGGCUAACUUCGUG
RNAcentral lists this ribosomal RNA (492 nucleotides) under uncultured bacterium. RNAcentral describes it as "partial 16S ribosomal RNA". It matches the Rfam family "Bacterial small subunit ribosomal RNA", at positions 29 to 507 of the family's 1533-position model. The record is from RNAcentral.